This 376-nucleotide unclassified non-coding RNA is filed under the name soil metagenome. Its description in RNAcentral is "partial contains 5.8S ribosomal RNA, internal transcribed spacer 2, and large subunit ribosomal RNA". The stretch from base 1 to 120 matches the Rfam family "5.8S ribosomal RNA", at positions 35 to 154 of the family's 154-position model. The record is from RNAcentral.
GAUGAAGAACGUAGCGAAAUGCGAUAAGUAAUGUGAAUUGCAGAAUUCAGUGAAUCAUCGAAUCUUUGAACGCAUCUUGCGCUCCUUGGUAUUCUGAGGAGCAUGCCUGUUUGAGUGUCAUUAAAUUCUCAACUACACUGACUUUGAAUUAGUGUGGCUUGGAUUUGGGGGGAAAAUUGUUGUGGGCUUUUUGUAUAGUCUGCUCCCCUGAAAUUGAUUAGCGGUACCUUUGUGGAACUGUCUACAGGUGUGAUAAUUAUCUACAUCUUAGACAUCUGCUGGAAUGCUGCUUUCUAAACCUUACUUGUAUUGACAAUCUUGACCUCAAAUCAGGUAGGACUACCCGCUGAACUUAAGCAUAUCAAUAAGCGGAGGA